Molecule: ribosomal RNA, 492 nt
Filed under: uncultured bacterium
Lineage: Bacteria
Description: partial 16S ribosomal RNA
Rfam family: Bacterial small subunit ribosomal RNA
Source: RNAcentral
AGUGAACGCUGGCGGUAGGCCUAACACAUGCAAGUCGAACGGCCACACAGUAAGCGUUUGCUCUUACGGGUGGCGAGUGGCGGGCGGGUGAGGAAUACAUCAGAAUCUACUAUUUCGUGGGGGAUCUCGUAGAGACACUUACGAUACUACCUCAUACGCCCAACAGGUUAAAGCAGGAGAUCUUGGCACCUUUCGCGAUUGUAUGAGCCGAUGUCGGAUUAGCUAGUUGGCGGGGUAAAGGCCCACCAAGGCAACGAUCCGUAGCUGGUCUGAGAGGAUGAGCAGCCACACUGGAACUGAGACACGGUCCAGACUCCUACGGGAGGCAGCAGUGGGGAAUAUUGGACAAAGGGCGCAAGCCUGAUGCAGCAAUACCGCGUGGGUGAAGAAGGCCUUCGGGUUGUAAAGCCCUUUUGUUGGGAAAGAAAAGCAGCAGGUUAAUACCUCGCUGUUCUGACGGUACCCAAAGAAUAAGCACCGGCUAACUUCGUG